CUGGACUAGAGCAAGACUAGCACAGAAGCAGUGAGACCACUUGGGAGGAUGGUGCAGUUGUCCAGGGAGACACUAGCUGAGAGUGAAGUCCAGACAAAGGGAGAUGGAUCACUGAAGACGUCUCUGAGUACCUAGAUCCAACUGUGUCUGACUGCAAACUACCCCUAGACUCAGGAUUGUGAUGUACACACACAGAGGAACAAAAGCGCCAUAUCCCAGCCGGGGCUUUCCUGUCUCCUGUGUCCAGCUGCUCCCUCUUUUUGCCCAGAGUGAACAGACCACAGAACUCAGCAGCUCCCCAGUAUCCCCCAAAAGGAUGCACUCGGGACUUCCCUGGUGGUCCAGUGGUGAAGACUCCGUGCUUCCAAUGCAGGGGGUGCAGGUUCGAUCCCUGGUUAGAGAACCAAGAUCCCACUUGCCACGUGGCAGGGCCAAAAAAAAAAAAAAAGUAAAAAGCAAAACAAAACAAACAAAUGAACAACAACAACAAACCAAAAGGAUGCGCUCACCACAACAGGGAACAACAGAAACAUUGCUGAAGAUUUCAGAGCAGAGCUGAGGAAGGGGAUCUGCAGCACACAACUCACAGACGAUGACAACUCCAUCUUUAUUCCUCCACGCUGCUCUCCAGCAUGCCGCCCAUUCUUGUGUCAUGCCUUCCCCCACUCGCCCUUCCCCCCACCCCACACAUCCUCUGCCUGGGGUGGCAGGUGGUGGCUGAGAGAGGACUUCCCUCUCUUCCAAGUCUUUCCUUCUCAUGCUCCCCCCUCACCCCCAACACACGCAGAUUCCUCCUGGAGCCCCGCUCGAGUGCGCAAUCCAGUUUUCCUCAUCCAGCACAUCCUUUGGGUUCCUCCCUCCAGCCCAGGUUGUUAAAGUCUUUAUUCCAAAUGAGUGUUGUUCUCUCCCUGCAUGGAAUCCUGAUUUCUACACUAGCUCCCUCUACCA
Long non-coding RNA from Hippopotamus amphibius kiboko, 948 nucleotides. RefSeq lists it as uncharacterized. The transcript is spliced from 3 exons. The record is from RefSeq and is a predicted model, not a curated record. NCBI's taxonomy places the organism in Eukaryota, Metazoa, Chordata, Mammalia, Artiodactyla, Hippopotamidae.